RNAcentral lists this small nuclear RNA (109 nucleotides) under Volvox carteri f. nagariensis. Its description in RNAcentral is "U5 spliceosomal RNA". It matches the Rfam family "U5 spliceosomal RNA". Rfam says of the family: U5 RNA is a component of both types of known spliceosome. The precise function of this molecule is unknown, though it is known that the 5' loop is required for splice site selection and p220 binding, and that both the 3' stem-loop and the Sm site are important for Sm protein binding and cap methylation. Lineage: Eukaryota; Viridiplantae; Chlorophyta; Chlorophyceae; Chlamydomonadales; Volvocaceae. The record is from Rfam by way of RNAcentral.
CAGCGCUUAGCUGUUCACGAAUCUCAUAUCUCUUUCGCCUUUUACUAAAGAGAUCAGCGAGCACGGCUCUCUCAAGCGCAUAUCAACAAUCUUUGAAAGGCUUUUGCCU